UGAGGAAUAUUGGGCAAUGCCCGCAAGGGUGACCCAGCAACGCCGCGUGGAGGAUGAAUGUCGUAAGAUUGUAAACUCCUGUUAGAGGGGAAGAAUAGUACCGGUUGGACCGGUAUGUGACUGUACCCUCAGAGAAAGCCCCGGCUAACUACGUGCCAGCAGCCGCGGUAAUACGAAGGGUGCAAGCGUUACUCGGAAUUACUGGGCGUAAAGCGUGCGUAGGCGGUCUGUUAAGUCUGCUGUGAAAUCCCCGGGCUCAACCUGGGAAUGGCAGUGGAAACUGGCGGGCUAGAGUACGGUAGAGGAUGGUGGAAUUCCCGGUGUAGCGGUGAAAUGCGUAGAGAUCGGGAGGAACACCAGUGGCGAAGGCGGCCAUCUGGACCAGUACUGACGCUGAGGCACGAAAGCGUGGGGAGCAAACA
Molecule: ribosomal RNA, 422 nt
Filed under: uncultured bacterium
Lineage: Bacteria
Description: bacterial SSU rRNA
Rfam family: Bacterial small subunit ribosomal RNA
Source: RNAcentral